ACGCUGGCGGCGUGCCUACACAUGCAAGUCGAGCGAAGCAUUUAGGUUAGCUUGCUAAUCUUUAUGACUGAGCGGCGAACGGGUGAGUAACACGUGGGUAAUCUACCUGAAAGUCUGGGAUAACAGUUCGAAAGGGCUACUAAUACCGGAUGACAUUAUGAUGUAGAGUCAUCAAUCAAAGCGUUACGGAGCGCUUUCAGAUGAGCCCGCGUCCCAUUAGCUAGUUGGUAAGGUAAAGGCUCACCAAGGCGACGAUGGGUAGCCGGUCUGAGAGGAUGGACGGCCACACUGGAACUGAGACACGGUCCAGACUCCUACGGGAGGCAGCAGUGGGGAAUUUUGCGCAAUGGGGGCAACCCUGACGCAGCGACGCCGCGUGAGCGAAGAAGGCCUUCGGGUUGUAAAGCUCUGUCUGGGGGGAAGAUAGUGACGGUACCCCCGGAGGAAGCCCCGGCUAACUACGUGCCAGCAGCCGCGGUAAGACGUAGGGGGCGAGCGUUGUCCGGAAUUACUGGGCGUAAAGGGCAUGUAGGCGGCCUGCCAAGUCAGCUGUGAAAUUCCUCGGCUCAACCGGGGCACUGCGGUUGAAACUGGUAGGCUUGAGUGCAGAAGAGGAGGGUGGAAUUCCCAGUGUAGCGGUGAAAUGCGUAGAUAUUGGGAGGAACACCGGUGGCGAAGGCGGCCUUCUGGUCUGUAACUGACGCUGAGGCGCGAAAGCUAGGGUAGCAAACAGGAUUAGAUACCCUGGUAGUCCUAGCUGUAAACGCUGGGUACUAGGGUGUAGGGGGUUUAGACGCCUUCUGUGCCGUA
This 810-nucleotide ribosomal RNA is filed under the name uncultured bacterium. RNAcentral describes it as "bacterial SSU rRNA". It matches the Rfam family "Bacterial small subunit ribosomal RNA", at positions 33 to 850 of the family's 1533-position model. The record is from RNAcentral.